UAAUUAUCGAGAUAAACAGCGUAAGGAAUUCAUUAAAACAUCCUCGAAAACUAUAGUGCAUCAUCUGGCCGGUUAGCUCAUCAAUAAAUUGUGCAGAGACAGGUGAUACAAAAGGAAGUGCUUUGCACCAACAAGCAUUGCAUUGCAAGGAUUGAAAAGCUGCCGCCAACAAUUAACGACUAGAAUAUAUUUCAAUCCAGAAAAUUAUCAACGGCAGACCAACUAUGACGAACAACAGCAGGUGCCGCAGUGAAGUUUUUUUCCACCACCAUUCAAAACAACUCUUGGCAAUUACGCGUAGCCAAAGCGCUGCUGUUACAUGACCGCAUGUUCCGGGGCUUCCUAAAUACAAAGGAAACUGAUGCAACACGUAGACGGAGCAAAUUCGUAGCUCUGUAAGUCCCUUAAACUAACCGGUCGCACAUCAAGUUCCACAUGCUGACGAAUUCUUCAAAGGAGAGUUUAUUCGCCCCAAGGAAGAAGCU
Molecule: long non-coding RNA, 485 nt
Organism: Uranotaenia lowii
Lineage: Eukaryota; Metazoa; Arthropoda; Insecta; Diptera; Culicidae
Exons: 3
Source: RefSeq, a predicted model, not a curated record